Molecule: long non-coding RNA, 337 nt
Filed under: Physcomitrium patens
Lineage: Eukaryota; Viridiplantae; Streptophyta; Bryopsida; Funariales; Funariaceae
Description: long non-coding RNA (PPAT_LNC002625)
Source: RNAcentral
UAUAUUAUAUAGGAUUUAAAUAUUUAGUAUAAAGUUUAAGAGAAGGUUGGGGCCUAAAGAAAAAAAUCUUAACUAAUAGGAGGCUUAUUGUGAGGGAUGAAAGCAAGUUAUGGUUGGAUGAAGGCAAAGAAUAGAAAACUUCAUUCCUAUUGGUUGAAGGCCAUAUCCAAUGGGCUUCAAGGAAGCUGUCCGAGGCCUUAUUAGGGAUUAGGGUUUCUCUUUCGAAGUCAUUCGAACUUUGGAGGCUAUGGUCAAAAAGUUCAGGAUUUGGGGUAUAAUUUGGGUAAAGAGUUUGUGUGAUUUCGAGUUUUUGUGAAAGAGAUAUAGGUGUUCAAAG